Molecule: ribosomal RNA, 429 nt
Filed under: bacterium
Lineage: Bacteria
Description: partial 16S ribosomal RNA
Rfam family: Bacterial small subunit ribosomal RNA
Source: RNAcentral
UAGGGAAUCUUCGGCAAUGGGGGCAACCCUGACCGAGCAACGCCGCGUGAGUGAAGAAGGUUUUCGGAUCGUAAAGCUCUGUUGUAAGAGAAGAACGUGUGUGAGAGUGGAAAGUUCACACAGUGACGGUAACUUACCAGAAAGGGACGGCUAACUACGUGCCAGCAGCCGCGGUAAUACGUAGGUCCCGAGCGUUGUCCGGAUUUAUUGGGCGUAAAGCGAGCGCAGGCGGUUUAAUAAGUCUGAAGUUAAAGGCAGUGGUUUAACCAUUGUUCGCUUUGGAAACUGUUAAACUUGAGUGCAGAAGGGGAGAGUGGAAUUCCAUGUGUAGCGGUGAAAUGCGUAGAUAUAUGGAGGAACACCGGUGGCGAAAGCGGCUCUCUGGUCUGUAACUGACGCUGAGGCUCGAAAGCGUGGGGAGCAAACAGG